UUAUCAUUUAGAGGAAGGAGAAGUCGUAACAAGGUUUCCGUAGGUGAACCUGCGGAAGGAUCAUUGUCGAAACCUGCAAAGCAGAACGACCUGUGAACAUGUUAAAACAACCAUGUGCCAGGAGGGUAGGUUUACUYCGAUCCUUUUGGCACACCGUCGAUCUGCGUUCUUGAUCACCCUUUUGGGGUAUCAUGAAUGUUGUUUCGACGUAACAAAACCCCGGCACUGGUUGUGCCAAGGAAAUAUAAACUGAAGAAUGGCUCGUUCCUUGAUUUCCCGUUUGCGGKGAACUCAUGGAUCGUGGCUUCUUUGUAAUCACAAACGACUCUCGGCAACGGAUAUCUCGGCUCACGCAUCGAUGAAGAACGUAGCAAAAUGCGAUACUUGGUGUGAAUUGCAGAAUCCCGUGAACCAUCGAGUUUUUGAACGCAAGUUGCGCCCGAAGCCAUUCGGCUGAGGGCACGUCUGCCUGGGCGUCACGCAUCGCGUCGCCCCCCCAUUCCAUUCUUUCGGAUGUAUGGCUGGGGGCGGAUAUUGGUCUCCCGUUCUUCAUGGAGCGGUUGGCCAAAAUAAGAGUCCUCUUCGAUGGACGCACGACUAGUGGUGGUUGAUAAAACCUAGUAACGUGUCGUGUGUCUCGUCCAAGUGUGCAUCUUAAUAGACCCAAUGUGUCGUCUUUUGACGAUGCUUCGACCGCGACCCCAGGUCAGGCGGGACUACCCGCUGAGUUUAAGCAUAUCA
Molecule: small RNA, 741 nt
Filed under: Felicia namaquana
Lineage: Eukaryota; Viridiplantae; Streptophyta; Magnoliopsida; Asterales; Asteraceae
Description: eukaryotic LSU rRNA
Rfam family: 5.8S ribosomal RNA (bases 324-479)
Source: RNAcentral